Molecule: long non-coding RNA, 5320 nt
Filed under: Sus scrofa (pig)
Lineage: Eukaryota; Metazoa; Chordata; Mammalia; Artiodactyla; Suidae
Source: RNAcentral
CCUGGAUCACGUGUCCAUCCUCGGGACCCAGGGGUGGGGUUUUCCCGCGCAAUUUACUUGGACCCGGCGAGGAGAGCGUUCCGCACCAGAAAAUCUGGGUGCUGGCCCCGCAAGACGGGACCCAAAGGACUGCUGAGCUGUCAGUGCUGCUGGGGGAGCCCCACUCUCUGCAAGACGAGCAGAGGGGGAGCCCAAGGCCCACGGGCAUGCGUGGCACAGAGUCAGGGCUCAGAUGGGGCAAGGACCUGAGACAUCCCGGUACAUUCCAGAACUUUCCAGAGCGUCCUCCAUCUCCCAGUUCCUGAGACAAAGAUGCUUGCGGAGGGAGAGCAGAUGGAUACGUGGUUGUGGCUGGGGGCUGACACCUCAGGAGGCGGUUGUCCCCCCAGGAGGAGUGUUGCUGGAGUCGUGUAGCUGAGCACUGAAACCACAGCAAGAGGAACCGUGAUGGGGUCAACAGGUGGGGGGGGGGGGUCAUCUCUAGAACGGAAGCCCCAGGAGGGCAGGGCUGUUCAGCUGUUUUGACUGCUGUAGUCCACAAGCCUUGAGCCACACGCUUGGUUGCCUGUAGGUGCUCUGCGAACACCUGUGUAGCAGGUGUGUUGGGUAGACUUGAUGUGCGCCUGGGUUCUGAGAGCCUGAGCACAGUGGAUGCGGGAGAAAGCCAGCUGUUGGUUUACACGGUGGCCCCCUGCCAUCCGAUCACCUAGCGAGUCUUUCCCAGCCACCAGGGCGGCUGUGGUCGGACAGCCCAGCAUCCAUUCCCUUUUUUUUCUGGGGAUGGCACCCUCGUGUCGUUUUAAGGGGCCUCUUUGCCCACUGAACUCCAUCUCGAUGGAUGUCGUGCAUCCUGCCUCCCGUCCCUAGAUCCAUGUGUGGCGGUCCUUACCCCCAGUUCUUCAGUGUGUGACCUUACUGGGACCUAGGGCCAUGUCGGACCUCAUUAAGCUGAGGUCAUACUGGGAGCUCCCUGGUGGUCCAGUGGUUAGAAUACAGCACUUUUACGGCUGUGGCCUGGAUGCAGUCCCUGUCUGGGAACUGAGAUCCUGCAUCAAGCUGCUGUCAUAAAAAGAGAGAAAGAGAGAUGAGGUUGCCCUGAAAUAGGAAGGCCCCUAUGCAGUGUAACCGGUGUCGCAGUAAAACAGGAGGAACUUGUACACAGACACGCACACACGGAAGGAUGCCGUGUAUCCUGCCACCGACCGAAAGAACCCUCCGAAUCUCCCUUGGAGUGCAGCCUGGAACAGGUCCUCCCCGAGCACCGGCGGGAAGGAGCACAGCCCUGCCUCAUCUUGGUCUUGGAUGUCCAGCCUGCCGAACGUGAGACAGUCCAUUCCUGGUGAAGCCACUCUGUUUGCAGUGCUUUUAGCGGCCAUCCUAGCGAAGCGCUACAGAGGGAGUGUCACUCCGACGCCCCACCUGCUCUGGCCAGGAGGGCGCCCGCCCCUGCAGAAGCCCCUCGCUGGAAUGUGCAUCCCAGGGCCUCAGUGAGCACCCCGCCCAUCCUCCACCAGCUGGGUGAUCUUCUUGUGGGGAACUCCUUUCUGCCUCCCCUUCAGCUCUGAGCUCCCCCCAGAAUUCCUGAUACGAAUUCCAAAUUGUUUUCUCUUGCUGUCAACCAGAUGUUCCUGCUUGAAGCCAGAACCAAGAGCCACCCCUUUAAGGCAGGUCUCCAGGCGGGGAGGGGGCAUCUCCCCACCCCACCGGGGGCCUGGCUUGCUCCCUCGCGCCCAGACCACCCGCACCACACAGUUGUUCAGCUGAUGUAGACCUGGGGCUUGGCGCAGGGAUGCAGCGGUGAAUGAGGCCGCAGGAAAGAAGAUGAUUUAAGGACUCUGGGCUCAGCGGGGGAGGGGGGACGUGACAGAAGGGAAGGGGCCCUGUAGGAGCACAGAUGUGGGACACGGAACUCGGCGUGGGUGGGGUGGGUAAUCAGCCACGAGGCGGGGGCAGGGCUGCCGGGAGCAGGUGGGAGGGAGCCGGGGUGACCAACCUCCCCGCUUGCCUGGGACUGUCCUGAUUUUAGCAUCGAGCGUCCCUGCUCCUAGGAACCCCGUGUCUGGAGUGGAGAGCAGGGCAGGGGGUGGGGAGAAGUGAGGGGGCAGUGUCACCAGGGGUCCUUCUGCCAGGGAAGAGCGGGCAGAUCUUAGAGCUCAGAGGAAGGGAGGACUUUGGAGAGUCUCCUGCAGGAACAUGAUGUGACAAAGUCCGUCCCUUCUCCGAGGACUCUGUCUGCUGUGAAGUGUGGAGUAAGGGUGGGGGGCGGGAGGCCAUGGCAGGUUAAGCCCCGAGUGGUCAGGGGGGCGAUUUGGGCCGUGAUUCUGAGCCUUUCUGGGCGGGUCGGGGUGGUGGCGACAGACCCACCCCGAGACCCUGAUGAGAGCCGGGGACACUCUCCUCCAAUAGAUCCCCUAUGGCCCCCACAUGCCUCGAUUUCCUCCACGCAGAUGCUGCCGUGGGCAUUUCGGGGGCUUUUGUGAACCCCUGAGAUCCAUCCAUUCCUCUCCUCCUGCCCACCUCCAGCCCAGCUCCUUCAGUCUCCUGCCUCUCCAGUAAAGCCCCCUUUGCUGAAGCUGAUUGCCAGGUCAGUUUUGCUCAAGUCAGUUUAUACCAUAGCAGGUAGGUAGCGACCCCAGGUUCAGACAUGGGUCAGUCUGAAGCCCAGUGUAUUGCAUUUUUUCCUGUCUUGAUGCCUGUGACACGUGUGUGUGAGAGAGAGAGGGAGGGAGAGAAAGGGAGCAAGCGGGAGCUGUUCGACACCCCCCUUUUGAUGUGACGAUAACAUUGCCGAUGAAGGAACAGCCUGCGCUGGACUGAAAUACAAAUGUGUGAGCAUUUUGUUCGAUUCCAGAAGCUCUGCUGAGGCCCUGAUGGGUUGGGAUGGAUUCUCGGGGCCCCUGGACAGAUGGCCUCGCCCCUCGAAGGGAGAGUCACCGUCUCUGACUUGAGCACCAGCAUCCAGAGCCCGGGGAAGAAAUCACGUAUCAAAUGUGGUGUAUGUGAUGACACGGUCUCCAGGAAGCAGAGAGGGAACAGCUAAGAAGACAAGCAGGAAAUAACACGACCCGAGAAGAGCCAGGACUUCCCUGCUUUCUUUUCAACGUGCGGAGCGUUGAUUAUUGAUGGAGCUUGAAGGGGUCUGGUGGAAAGGAGACACAAGUGUUUGGGGCUUCUGGGAGGGUAGGUACCGUAGAGAUGCUGGAUGCUGGGCUGGGGUGGUUUCUGGGGGUCUUCAAACUAAUGUGAAGUAUAAAUCACACCAGUAGAGACCUCGUAAGGUCGGGCGUUAAAGCCCUUGGAAUUUUUACAGCCAGCAGCCGGCGGCCUGGCAUUGAGCAGCAAGGGGGCUCCCGCUGGACAGCAGAUGGGGCCUCUCUGUGCCAAAAUAGUGUCACUGCCUGCAGUGCAAACCCACAUGCUGGGAUGAGGCCUCGCUGGUCUGGCGCUGGGCCCUAGCCUUCGAGCCAAACCCCUGGCUGCCGUCCUGUGUCCUGGACUCUCUAGGGACCCUCGGGCUGGAGCUUCCCUGCCUGAGCAGGGUUCUUGGCUCAGAAGCUGGUCUGGCUGCCCCGCCGUGCUUCUUACCGCCAGCCGAGGGUGAGGUGGGAGGCGGAGGCAUGGAUCCAGCCCAAGUGGUAGCCGAGGACCCAGGCAGCACUCCUGGGUGUAGCCGAGGAGGAACUGGAACCUCAGCCACGGGUCAGAGAGGAGGGAGACCCCAGCUGAUCCAGCCGCAACUGAUCCAGCCUGGAACAGUCCUAGGGAAGGAACCGGCCCUGCUGGUGGAGGCUGCAGCGGGAGGGCGCAGCCAGGCGUCUUGGACAAGUGUCUGACCGCGCCGAGGUGCACCCUCCCCGUUCUUUUUUUUUUAAUUUUUUUUUAUAGUUGAUUUACGCUGUUCUGUCCAUUUCUGCCAUGCAGCAAGGUGACCCAGUUACGUGUACAUGUGUACCUUCUUCACCUCACAUGUUCCUCCAUCGUGUUCACCCCCUUUCUUAAUGCCACUCCCUCCCCGGGCCGUGAUGGGGACUAAACCGCGUACUCCUUUGCUCUGGCUGCCGUAACGGUGACGCAGACUGAGCGGCUGAAACAACAGAGCCGCCUUCACCCAGGCAGGAAGCCUGAGAUCAAGGGUCCGCCGGGUGGGACCCUUCUGCGGCCUCCCUCCUCGGCGUGCAGAGGGCUGGCUUCCGUGACCCCCCUGCUCCCCCCUCUCUCCUCUUAUAAGACCCCGACCACCGUGGAUUCAAAUCCACCCCAGUGACCGCAGUGCAGCCUCCUCCCCUCUUUAAAGACCCCGUCUCCAAAUCCAGUCCCAUGCUGAGAGACUGGAGUGCAGAUUUUAAGAGGAUACUGUUCAGCCCAUGACAACUGAGAUGCCGCAUGGAGACGCCAGACACGGCAAAGGUGGUUAAUCACAGCGGCGGCUGAGAAGGCAAAGCAGAGCCAGUGUUAAACACCCAGCCGAGCUCUGUGCCUUAGCCCUCUCCUCCCCCAGGAAGCCAUCCCGGGCUUCCGGCCUUGAUGCCGCCAGAGAGGGAGGGACUCAGCUCCUGGCCCGGGCACACCUGCGCUGCUGGCUCGGCUCCACUGAGCUGGAUUGUAGUCUUCCUGGAGCUGGGCUGCGCCUCCUUCCAUGUUUUGAUUCCAGUGGGUCAGGGGACACCCCCCAGGCACUCAGGACCGUCUGCUUGGGCAAAGGAACCACCCCUAAGGCCAGAAGCAGUUCUCUGGACACCACUGAGACCCAGAAGCAGGCUCCCUGCAGCCUGAGGGAUCAGAGGCGAGGUGCUGGGUUUCUGGUGAUUUGGCUUCAUCACAAGGGAAGGCAUGACUUAGCGGCAUCUCCUGGCCUUUUCUAGUCAUCUCCCGUUCUCCCUACAGGUUUUUUAAAUCUGCCUGGGCGUUCCCUUUGUGGCUCAGUGGUAACUAACCUGACUAGCAUCCAUGAGGAUGCAGGUUUAGUCCCUGGCCUCACUCAGUGGGUUAAGGGUCUGGUGUUGCCGUGAGCUGUGGUAUAGGUUGCAGAUGUGGCUUAGAUCUUGUUGCUGUGGCUGUGGUGUAGGCUGGCAGCUGCAGCUCUGAUUGGACCCCUACCCCGAGAACCUCCAUAAGCCGCAGUGCAGCCCGAAAAAGAAAAAAUCUGCCUGAACCCAAGACAGGUUUUUCCAUGCCCUUUUCUUCCCUGAAUUGUGACGUAUCCCAAUUGGAAAAUUGUCCCCAGAACCAUCAGCAAGUUGGUGAUAAUAUCUGCAGCAGAAACGCUGCCGCGGCUUUCUCAGUAACACUGCAAAGGUGAUUGGAGUAGCCGGUCCCCAGG